This 905-nucleotide ribosomal RNA is filed under the name uncultured Thermoplasmatales archaeon. RNAcentral's name for it is "bacterial SSU rRNA". It matches the Rfam family "Archaeal small subunit ribosomal RNA", at positions 1 to 905 of the family's 1478-position model. Lineage: Archaea; Methanobacteriati; Thermoplasmatota; Thermoplasmata; Thermoplasmatales. The record is from RNAcentral.
CUAGAAAGAUUCUGGUUGAUCCUGCCGGCGGGCACCGCUAUUGGAAUGCGAUUAAGCCAUGCGAGUCGAGAGGUGUAAGACCUCGGCACACCGCUCAGUAACACGCGGAUAAUCUGCCCUCAGGUGGAGAAUAAUCUCGGGAAACUGAGAAUAAUGCUCCAUAGGUUUAGUAUGCUGGAAUGCUUCUAAGCUGAAAGCUCCGACGCCUGAGGAUGAGUCUGCGGCCUAUCAGGUUGUAGUGGGUGUAACGGACCCACUAGCCUACGACGGGUACGGGUCAUGAGAGUGAUUGCCCGGAGAUGGGCUCUGAGACAUGAGCCCAGGGUCUACGGACCGCAGCAGGCGCGAAAACUUGGCAAUGCGCUCACGCGCGACCAGGGUAUUCCAAGUGCUGCAGCAUUGCUGCAGCUGUUUUUCUGCCUAAAAAGCAGAGAGAGUAAGGGCCGGGUAGGACGGGUGCCAGCCGCCGCGGUAAUACCCGCGGCCCGAGUGGUGCUCAUUAUUAUUGAGCCUAAAACGUCCGUAGCCGGUCUCGUAAGUCUUGGGUAAAUCGGGCAGCUUAACUGUCCGAAUUCCGAGGAGACUGCGAGUCUUGGGACCGGGAGAGGUUAGAGGUACUCCAGGGGUAAGGGCUAAAUCUUGUAAUCCUUGGGGGACCACCAGUGGCGAAGGCGUCUAACUAGAACGGAUCCGACGGUAAGGGACGAAACCCUGGGGCGCAAACGGGAUUAGAUACCCCGGUAGUCCAGGGCUUAAACGCUGCAGAUUUGGUGUCGGGGGUCCUACGAGGGCACCCGGUGCCGGAGAGAAGUUGUUAAAUCUGCCGCUUGGGGAGUACGGUCGCAAGACUGAAACUUAAAGGAAUAGGCGGGAGAGCACCGCAACGGGAGGAGCGUGCGGUUCAA